Onychostoma macrolepis is the source of this 253-nucleotide long non-coding RNA. RefSeq lists it as uncharacterized. Lineage: Eukaryota; Metazoa; Chordata; Actinopteri; Cypriniformes; Cyprinidae. The transcript has 3 exons. The record is from RefSeq and is a predicted model, not a curated record.
GGUCUCCUCAGGUCAGUCCUGCCGCUACAGUUGACAGCAACAUUGAGUAUGAGGCCAAGGAUGCUGUGGAGGCCGAGUCUUCUUCAGCCAAGGUUGUGCCAAAAAACAGCUUGGAUGUGCAGAGCCAUAAUGUUGAAAAGAAAGAUGAGGAUACGGCCUGUUGAUGAUGCCAGGACAUACAUUCUGUCUUUGAGGGACAAGCCGGGGUUUGUGGAACGAUUUAUCGAUGGUAACAAAGGUGGUUGGAGUGGCU